This 169-nucleotide non-coding RNA is filed under the name Triticum aestivum (bread wheat). RNAcentral's name for it is "Bacterial small subunit ribosomal RNA". It matches the Rfam family "Bacterial small subunit ribosomal RNA", at positions 936 to 1105 of the family's 1533-position model. Lineage: Eukaryota; Viridiplantae; Streptophyta; Magnoliopsida; Poales; Poaceae. The record is from Rfam by way of RNAcentral.
AGCAUGUGGUUUAAUUCAAUGCAAAGCGAAGAACCUUACCAGGGCUUGACAUGCCGCGAAUCCUCUUGAAAGAGAGGGGUGCCCUCGGGAACGCGGACACAGGUGAUGAAGCUAUGUACCUAGGGUAGGGGCACGGACCUGUCCUAAGAGCCCUACCCAAGGACAUCCU